RNAcentral lists this ribosomal RNA (263 nucleotides) under uncultured bacterium. RNAcentral's name for it is "partial 16S ribosomal RNA". It matches the Rfam family "Bacterial small subunit ribosomal RNA", at positions 793 to 1055 of the family's 1533-position model. The record is from RNAcentral.
GUCCACGCCCUAAACCAUGUCAACUGGGUGUUCGGGAAGCGAUUUCUGAGUACCGUAGCUAACGCGUGAAGUUGACCGCCUGGGGAGUACGGCCGCAAGGUUAAACUCAAAGGAAUUGACGGGGACCCGCACAAGCGGUGGAUGAUGUGGAUUAAUUCGAUGCAACGCGAACAACCUUACCUACCCUCGACAUGUCAGAGAGCCUGCUGAGAGGCGGGUGUGCUCGAAAGAGAAUCGGAACACAGGUGCUGCAUGGCUGUCGU